Molecule: ribosomal RNA, 253 nt
Filed under: uncultured bacterium
Lineage: Bacteria
Description: partial 16S ribosomal RNA
Rfam family: Bacterial small subunit ribosomal RNA
Source: RNAcentral
UACGAAGGUGGCUAGCGUUGUUCGGAUUUACUGGGCGUAAAGCGCACGUAGGCGGAUCGUUAAGUCGGGGGUGAAAUCCUGGAGCUCAACUCCAGAACUGCCUUCGAUACUGGCGAUCUUGAGUCCGGAAGAGGUGAGUGGAACUCCUAGUGUAGAGGUGGAAUUCGUAGAUAUUAGGAAGAACACCAGUGGCGAAGGCGGCUCACUGGACUGGUAUUGACGCUGAGGUGCGAAAGCGUGGGGAGCAAACAGG